This 780-nucleotide ribosomal RNA is filed under the name Triticum aestivum (bread wheat). RNAcentral's name for it is "partial small subunit ribosomal RNA". The record is from RNAcentral. Lineage: Eukaryota; Viridiplantae; Streptophyta; Magnoliopsida; Poales; Poaceae.
AUGAUUAAAAAUGCUCAGAAAAAUAAGCUGAUAGUAGGCCUAGCUUCCGAUCUUAUCCCUGAUGGAGUGGCGGUCCUUCAAUACGCAGAUGACACCAUUAUCUGCAUAGAGGAUGACAUUGACAAAGCAAUCAACCUGAAGUUGUUGCUGUACAUGUUUGAGAUGAUGUCUGGCCUGAAAGUUAACUUUCAGAAGAGCGAAAUUCUUACUGUAGGUGGAGAUGAGACUGUUGUCAAUAAAUAUGCCGAGAUAUUUGAUUAUGAGGUUGGCAGCUUUCCACUUAAAUACCUAGGCAUGCCUGUCAGCUAUGCUAACCUGAAAACCUCUGAUUGGGAAUUCAUUGUUAGCAAUUACUUGAAAAGGUUCGAUGCCUGGAUUGGCAAUGCUGCCUCGGUGGGGGGGGGGAGACAUAGCCUGCUUGAUUCGGUUGUCACACAGCUCUCCCUUUACCACAUGUCGAUGUGGCUGAUGAAUAAAACCUUCAUUGAAAGGCUAGACAAACACAGACGAUGUUUCUUUUGGCAAGGGUGUAACAAAAAGAAAAGAUACUAUCUUGUCAAGUGGAGUAGGAUUUGUAGAUCCAGAGACAAAGGGGGCUUAGGCAUAAAAGACCUCCGGAAACAAAAUAUUAGUCUCAUGGUUAAAUGGUGGUGGAAGUUAGAGACCCAGAAUGGGUUGUGGCAAGAAAUUGUCCGUGCCAGAUAUCUCCGCAACAAAUCUGUUGCUGACGUUACCCCCGGUUCUCUGAUUCGCCUUGCUGGAAAAACCUGCUUAAAGUGA